RNAcentral lists this ribosomal RNA (460 nucleotides) under uncultured bacterium. Its description in RNAcentral is "partial 16S ribosomal RNA". It matches the Rfam family "Bacterial small subunit ribosomal RNA", at positions 338 to 795 of the family's 1533-position model. The record is from RNAcentral.
CCUACGGGAGGCAGCAGUGAGGAAUAUUGGUCAAUGGACGAGAGUCUGAACCAGCCAAGUAGCGUGAAGGAUGACUGCCCUAUGGGUUGUAAACUUCUUUUAUAAAGGAAUAAAACGAGGCACGUGUGCCUUUUUGCAUGUACUUUAUGAAUAAGGAUCGGCUAACUCCGUGCCACCAGCCGCGGUAAUACGGAGGAUCCGAGCGUUAUCCGGAUUUAUUGGGUUUAAAGGGAGCGUAGAUGGGUUGUUAAGUCAGUUGUGAAAGUUUGCGGCUCAACCGCAAAAUUGCAAUUGAUACUGGCAGUCGUGAGUACAGUUGAGGUAGGCGGAAUUCGUGGUGUAGCGGUGAAAUGCUUAGAUAUCACGAAGAACCCCGAUUGCGAAGGCAGCUUACUAAACUGUGACUGACAUUGAUGCUCGAAAGUGUGGGUAUCAAACAGGAUUAGAUACCCCUGUAGUC